RNAcentral lists this ribosomal RNA (564 nucleotides) under uncultured Glomeromycotina. Its description in RNAcentral is "SSU rRNA". It matches the Rfam family "Eukaryotic small subunit ribosomal RNA", at positions 548 to 1114 of the family's 1831-position model. The record is from RNAcentral. Lineage: Eukaryota; Fungi; Glomeromycota.
UUGGAGGGCAAGUCUGGUGCCAGCAGCCGCGGUAAUUCCAGCUCCAAUAGCGUAUAUUAAAGUUGCUGCAGUUAAAAAGCUCGUAGUUGAAUUUCGGGACCAUCAUGUCGGUCGUGCCUCGGUACGUACUGGCAUUGUUGGUUUCUCCCUUCUGACGAACCAUGAUGUCAUUUAUUUGGUGUUGUGGGAAAUCAGGACUGUUACUUUGAAAAAAUUAGAGUGUUUAAAGCAGGCUCACGCUUGAAUACAUUAGCAUGGAAUAAUGAAAUAGGACGUUUGAUUCUAUUUUGUUGGUUUCUAGGAUCGACGUAAUAAUUAAUAGGGAUAGUUGGGGGCAUUAGUAUUCAAUUGUCAGAGGUGAAAUUCUUGGAUUUAUUGAAGACUAACUACUGCGAAAGCAUUUGCCAAGGAUGUUUUCAUUAAUCAAGAACGAAAGUCAGGGGAUCGAAGACGAUCAGAUACCGUCGUAGUCUUAACCAUAAACUAUGCCGACUAGGGAUCGGAUGAUGUUAAUUUUUUAAUGACUCAUUCGGCGCCUUACGGGAAACCAAAGUGUUUGGGUUC